RNAcentral lists this ribosomal RNA (497 nucleotides) under uncultured bacterium. RNAcentral describes it as "partial 16S ribosomal RNA". It matches the Rfam family "Bacterial small subunit ribosomal RNA", at positions 28 to 507 of the family's 1533-position model. The record is from RNAcentral.
GACGAACGCUGGCGGCGUGCCUAAUACAUGCAAGUUGAGCGCUGAAGGUUGGUACUUGUACCGACUGGAUGAGCAGCGAACGGGUGAGUAACGCGUGGGGAAUCUGCCUUUGAGCGGGGGACAACAUUUGGAAACGAAUGCUAAUACCGCAUAAAAACUUUAAACACAAGUUUUAAGUUUGAAAGAUGCAAUUGCAUCACUCAAAGAUGAUCCCGCGUUGUAUUAGCUAGUUGGUGAGGUAAAGGCUCACCAAGGCGAUGAUACAUAGCCGACCUGAGAGGGUGAUCGGCCACAUUGGGACUGAGACACGGCCCAAACUCCUACGGGAGGCAGCAGUAGGGAAUCUUCGGCAAUGGACGAAAGUCUGACCGAGCAACGCCGCGUGAGGGAAGAAGGGUUUCGGAUCGUAAAACUCUGUUGGUAGAGAAGAACGUUGGUGAGAGUGGAAAGCUCAUCAAGUGACGGUAACUACCCAGAAAGGGACGGCUAACUACGUG